GAAUGUAAGUAUGAUCUGGUUGUGACAUGUCACCCUACCCCAUUGAUCACAAGGAUUGAUUCUGCUGAUUUGGCUGGCUAGGUGGGUGUCCCUUUCCUCCCCUGCUGUUCCAUGUACAUCCCUCCUGGAGUUGUGUACUUGUUUAAAGAGGACCAUUAACCUCCCUGAACAGAGGAGGACCAGCCUUCAGUCAAGGGCAUAUGUUUAGCUGUACCCUCUGCUAGGACCUCCAAACAAGAUUUCAAGAAUGUGAUGGUUAAUGUUGAUUAGGAUAUAGUGAUAUCUUGGUGAUUACUAAGACACACCUCUGGGUGUAUCUGUGAAGGUGUUUCCAGAG
Cricetulus griseus (Chinese hamster) is the source of this 337-nucleotide non-coding RNA. NCBI's taxonomy places the organism in Eukaryota, Metazoa, Chordata, Mammalia, Rodentia, Cricetidae. The record is from Rfam.